AACCAUUCUCACCUGCGGCUAGACCUGCGGAAGGAUCAUUACCGAGUUUACAACUCCCAAACCCCUGUGAACAUACCUAUACGUUGCCUCGGCGGAUCAGCCCGCGCCCUGUAAAAAGGGACGGCCCGCCCGAGGACCCUAAACUCUGUUUUUAGUGGAACUUCUGAGUAAAACAAACAAAUAAAUCAAAACUUUUAACAACGGAUCU
This 208-nucleotide unclassified non-coding RNA is filed under the name soil metagenome. RNAcentral's name for it is "partial contains 5.8S ribosomal RNA, internal transcribed spacer 2, and large subunit ribosomal RNA". The record is from RNAcentral.